Molecule: transfer RNA, 57 nt
Filed under: Paramacropostrongylus iugalis
Lineage: Eukaryota; Metazoa; Nematoda; Chromadorea; Rhabditida; Strongylidae
Description: tRNA-Tyr
Rfam family: tRNA
About the family: Transfer RNA (tRNA) molecules are approximately 80 nucleotides in length. Their secondary structure includes four short double-helical elements and three loops (D, anti-codon, and T loops).
Source: RNAcentral
AAGAAUUUAGUUUAAUGGUAAAAUAUUAGAUUGUAAAUCUAAAGUUAAUGUUCUUGG